CUGAGCCAAUGGGCUGCGCUCUCCGCUACGUGUGGCGUCACACGUACCGGUCAAGAUGGCGUCGGCGGAUGGAGCUGAGGUUUUCCCGCGACCUUUACCCUGGUGGGGGGGUGUUAGGGGCAGUGGGAAAGCAGCUUCGUGCCGGUAUGGCCGUAUAGGGUUAGGAUCGGAUUCCUCAGCGGCUUGGGAGCAAUUCUAAGCGGCUUCCAGGCCCGCCAGCCGCAGCUGGAGGAGAGAGAAUCCACGCUACGAGACGUGUCACCGUGGACAACCUAGUGGCGCGGACCCGAUCUGGAGGGGGCGCGGAAUUGCAAGUGGAGAAGGACAAUUCGAGCGUUCUCGACUUCGGGUUUCAACCCGUGUCCAGUGGGAAUGCUAGUGCUCUAUCUGUCAGAGGCAAGAAGGCAAAGGCAUUUGUUUGAGGCUCUGCGGCGUGGAGGCAAAGUGAGCAUGCCCGCACGUCUUCUCCCGACCCGUGCUGAACAGUCUAAGUAGCAAGGAAGAAAUUCCCCUGCAAUGAAGCAGGUUCAGCGUUGAUUGCUGUCCGUCCAGCCCAAGUGAACAAAGCUUCCUCUUCCAGAUGUCUUUGUUUCUCUCCUCCCCAACUCAGCCCAGCCAGAGGAGCAUCCCAUAAGGGCAUCCAUUUCCUCCACCAGACCACAGGCUCAAGCACAGGGAUCAUAUCUGAUUCUGCUCUACAGUUAUGGUACUGACGGGGCCUGGCACCGCAUAGAGGGUCAACAGAUGCUUGUUGAGAAUGAAGCCUUGAAACGGAGAAGAGAAACUCAUCAGACUAUCUCAGGCUAAUGGCAGAGCCCAGCACAAAGAUGUCAAGGCAGCGAGGCCCUUUGCUGUCCCUGUCACACUCUCAGCACUCUGUCCAAACAGGCUCCAGACACCCUUAUUUCAACGAGGGUAUCUUAAACGAGUCCACUUCCCAGCCUGUUUUAAUCAUCCUGAUUCCUGGCUCCGGGGCUUGCCUUCUCUUUAUCACCUACCAUCACCUCUUGAUAUAUUACUUGAAGUGGUCAAGCCUGUGGCUCUCUCUCUUGCUUGAAAAUUUUUUUAUUUUUAUUAUUUUAUUUUAUUUUUGCUUUUUAGGGCCACACCCGUGGCACAUGGAGCGUC
Molecule: non-coding RNA, 1128 nt
Organism: Sus scrofa (pig)
Lineage: Eukaryota; Metazoa; Chordata; Mammalia; Artiodactyla; Suidae
Source: RefSeq, a predicted model, not a curated record